This 254-nucleotide ribosomal RNA is filed under the name uncultured bacterium. RNAcentral describes it as "partial 16S ribosomal RNA". It matches the Rfam family "Bacterial small subunit ribosomal RNA", at positions 524 to 776 of the family's 1533-position model. The record is from RNAcentral.
UACGUAGGGUGCGAGCGUUGUCCGGAAUUAUUGGGCGUAAAGAGCUCGUAGGCGGUGUGUCACGUCGGCCGUGAAAACCUGCAGCUUAACUGUGGGCGUGCGGUCGAUACGGGCAUCACUGGAGUUCGGCAGGGGAGACUGGAAUUCCUGGUGUAGCGGUGAAAUGCGCAGAUAUCAGGAGGAACACCGGUGGCGAAGGCGGUUCUCUGGGCAUUACCUGACGCUGAGGGGCGAAAGUGUGGGGAGCGAACAGG